UGCGUAGGCGGACUAAUAAGUCAGUGGUGAAAUCUUUCGGCUCAACCGAGAAACUGCCAUUGAUACUGUUAGUCUUGAGUUCGGUUGAGGUAUGCGGAAUGUGUAAUGUAGCGGUGAAAUGCUUAGAUAUUACACAGAACACCAAUUGCGUAGGCAGCUUACUAGACCGACACUGACGCUGAGGCACGAAAGCGUGGGGAGCGAACAGGAUUAGAUACCCUGGUAGUCC
RNAcentral lists this ribosomal RNA (229 nucleotides) under uncultured bacterium. Its description in RNAcentral is "partial 16S ribosomal RNA". It matches the Rfam family "Bacterial small subunit ribosomal RNA", at positions 568 to 796 of the family's 1533-position model. The record is from RNAcentral.